RNAcentral lists this ribosomal RNA (330 nucleotides) under uncultured bacterium. RNAcentral's name for it is "bacterial SSU rRNA". It matches the Rfam family "Bacterial small subunit ribosomal RNA", at positions 568 to 897 of the family's 1533-position model. The record is from RNAcentral.
CGCGCAGGCGGCGAUUUUUGUCAGGCGUGAAAGCCCCGGGCUUAACCUGGGAACGGCGCUUGGGACGGGAUCGCUAGAGAUCGGGAGAGGAGAGUGGAAUUCCCAGUGUAGAGGUGAAAUUCGUAGAUAUUGGGAAGAACACCGGUGGCGAAGGCGGCUCUCUGGACCGAUACUGACGCUGAGGCGCGAAAGCGUGGGGAGCAAACAGGAUUAGAUACCCUGGUAGUCCACGCUGUAAACGAUGUGUGCUAGACGUUGGGGAGCCUAGCUCUUCGGUGUCGCAGCUAACGCUUUAAGCACACCGCCUGGGGAGUACGGCCGCAAGGUUAA